This 510-nucleotide ribosomal RNA is filed under the name uncultured bacterium. Its description in RNAcentral is "partial 16S ribosomal RNA". It matches the Rfam family "Bacterial small subunit ribosomal RNA", at positions 28 to 507 of the family's 1533-position model. The record is from RNAcentral.
GACGAACGCUGGCGGCGUGCUUAACACAUGCAAGUCGAACGAAGAGCGAUGGAAGCUUGCUUCUAUCAAUCUUAGUGGCGAACGGGUGAGUAACGCGUAAUCAACCUGCCCUUCAGAGGGGGACAACAGUUGGAAACGACUGCUAAUACCGCAUACGAUCUAAUCUCGGCAUCGAGGAUAGAUGAAAGGUGGCCUCUACAUGUAAGCUAUCACUGAAGGAGGGGAUUGCGUCUGAUUAGCUAGUUGGAGGGGUAACGGCCCACCAAGGCGAUGAUCAGUAGCCGGUCUGAGAGGAUGAGCGGCCACAUUGGGACUGAGACACGGCCCAGACUCCUACGGGAGGCAGCAGUGGGGAAUCUUCCGCAAUGGACGAAAGUCUGACGGAGCAACGCCGCGUGAGUGAUGACGGCCUUCGGGUUGUAAAGCUCUGUUAAUCGGGACGAAAGGCCUUCUUGCGAACAGUUAGAAGGAUUGACGGUACCGGAAUAGAAAGCCACGGCUAACUACGUG